AUUGAACGCUGGCGGCAUGCCUUACACAUGCAAGUCGAACGGUAACGGGCCUUCGGGUGCCGACGAGUGGCGAACGGGUGGGUAAUACAUCGGAACGUGCCCGAUCGUGGGGGAUAACGAGGCGAAAGCUUUGCUAAUACCGCAUACGAUCUACGGAUGAAAGCAGGGGACCGCAAGGCCUUGCGCGGACGGAGCGGCCGAUGGCAGAUUAGGUAGUUGGUGGGAUGAAAGCUUACCAAGCCGACGAUCUGUAGCUGGUCUGAGAGGAUGAUCCGCCACACUGGGACUGAGACACGGCCCAGACUCCUACGGGAGGCAGCAGUGGGGAAUUUUGGACAAUGGGCGCAAGCCUGAUCCAGCCAUGCCGCGUGCAGGAUGAAGGCCUUCGGGUUGUAAACUGCUUUUGUACGGAACGAAAAGCCUUCUUCUAAUACGGGAGGGUCAUGACGGUACCGUAAGAAUAAGCACCGGCUAACUACGUGCCAGCCGCCGCAGUAA
RNAcentral lists this ribosomal RNA (498 nucleotides) under uncultured bacterium. RNAcentral describes it as "partial 16S ribosomal RNA". It matches the Rfam family "Bacterial small subunit ribosomal RNA", at positions 30 to 523 of the family's 1533-position model. The record is from RNAcentral.